RNAcentral lists this long non-coding RNA (462 nucleotides) under Mytilus galloprovincialis (Mediterranean mussel). The record is from RNAcentral. Lineage: Eukaryota; Metazoa; Mollusca; Bivalvia; Mytilida; Mytilidae.
AAUUGAUGUAAUCUUUUUUGCUUGAACCUUGACUACAGAAACAAACAUUACAUGUGGAUUUUAUUAUAUUACAGGAACUGUAGGAAGUUUUCCAAGAGUCUGAUUGCUAAGUAUGCAUUACAGGAUUUUAUCAUUGGAGCAACAUCUUAGGAGGAUAAACUUGUGCAAACGUAUGAAGGAAUCCUUGAAAUAUACAAAUAGCAAUUAUAUGCAGAAGAGGACUCUUAUAAACAUUAUAAACAGACAUGAAGUAAUAGUAGUGGUGUAUUCAAGAAGUGUAAACCACCUGGAAUAAACUAUUGUGUAUAUUUUUUCAACCACAAGUACUUUCAGAAUAUAGUACAGUUCAAAUUCAAAUUAUUGUGUCAACAGACAAGUUAUGUUAAAAAAAAUGAAAAUGCAUGUUGUUUUAAAAUGAAAUUUGUAUAUAUAAAAAAAAACGAAAUAACAAAAUUUUGUAGC